This 485-nucleotide ribosomal RNA is filed under the name Streptomyces olivaceus. RNAcentral's name for it is "bacterial SSU rRNA". It matches the Rfam family "Bacterial small subunit ribosomal RNA", at positions 92 to 590 of the family's 1533-position model. Lineage: Bacteria; Bacillati; Actinomycetota; Actinomycetes; Kitasatosporales; Streptomycetaceae. The record is from RNAcentral.
UUAGUGGCGAACGGGUGAGUAACACGUGGGCAAUCUGCCCUGCACUCUGGGACAAGCCCUGGAAACGGGGUCUAAUACCGGAUAUUGACCUUCACGGGCAUCUGUGAGGUUCGAAAGCUCCGGCGGUGCAGGAUGAGCCCGCGGCCUAUCAGCUUGUUGGUGAGGUAAUGGCUCACCAAGGCGACGACGGGUAGCCGGCCUGAGAGGGCGACCGGCCACACUGGGACUGAGACACGGCCCAGACUCCUACGGGAGGCAGCAGUGGGGAAUAUUGCACAAUGGGCGAAAGCCUGAUGCAGCGACGCCGCGUGAGGGAUGACGGCCUUCGGGUUGUAAACCUCUUUCAGCAGGGAAGAAGCGAAAGUGACGGUACCUGCAGAAGAAGCGCCGGCUAACUACGUGCCAGCAGCCGCGGUAAUACGUAGGGCGCAAGCGUUGUCCGGAAUUAUUGGGCGUAAAGAGCUCGUAGGCGGCUUGUCACGUCG